Non-coding RNA from Amborella trichopoda, 1742 nucleotides. The record is from RefSeq and is a predicted model, not a curated record. NCBI's taxonomy places the organism in Eukaryota, Viridiplantae, Streptophyta, Magnoliopsida, Amborellales, Amborellaceae.
CCCGUUAGAAACUUAUCUAAGAUUUGAUGCUCCCGCGGGAGCAUUUCCUCUGUUCAGUUAUCGACCUCUUUCUGUUAUAACUUCUCUCUGAACGACUCUCUCUCUCUGCACCUCUUCUCAGACCCCAUCUUACGGUUUCACAUUGAUCACCUCGCUGUAUUUUUUUUGUUUUCUCGCUAAGUCUAUGAAGCAGGAAUAAGGACCGAUCCUAAUUCCUGCUUGAUGGUCUUAGCGGAGGAGGGUAGUCAAUCUGGGUCAUAUGGACUCGAACUGCACAUAUUAAUACCCAAUAAAUGCUGAUUUAAUCGGUGCUCAAAUCUAGUUUGUUGUUUCGGGUUCCCUAAUCUUCUUCCUUUCUGAGAAAUUGUUACCUGGAGGUUGAUUCAGGUGCCCUAAUCUUCCUCUUUUCUGGGUGGGAUUCUCAUUCUAUUGAAUGGAUAAGAAGGUGGUUCAGCAUUCCAACUUUUUCAGAAGCUUGGUUCAUGAUCGAUGGAAACUAGAUGGGGAAUUGCUUCCAGGUGUUCGAUUCGCUCUUACAUAAGAUAUGUUGAUUACACUUUUCCUCACUUAUAAACAAUUGUCACAGCGCAUCUGCCUUAUUCUAGGGCUGUAAGAUAACUUUAUUACUCUUCUUUUUUUUAGUAUUAAUGAAAAGCGGGUAGGGGGCUUUCUCCCCCACUGACUUACCCAAAAAAAAAAACAAUUGUCACAACCAUCUCAUAAAUGUAUAAUAGAAGAGAAUCUCUAUGGUUAUGAUCCGUGGCUUCUUCCAGGUAUCCUUCAAUAGUUGCUAAUAAUGAAAUGAAUAUGAACUAGAUAUCAACUUCUUCUUUUUUACAUUCAAGCAAAUUGUGUAUUAAUAUGUAUCGUAAUCCAGUUUUUUCUGUCAUCCAUGAAUCAGCUGUAAAUAAUAUUUUCCAAAGAAAUGAAUGGUACUUCUAUGCAGCCACUAAUACCAUCCCAAAUGAAUGUGUUAUGACUUCUGUUUACUGGAAGGCACUCAAAACUGAUCAAGCCAUUCUUGUUCGUAAGGGAAAAUUGAUUGGCUUGGCUUCAAGAAUACAUUAGCACAUUACACAGGCAAUCCCAAUGCGGAAAAUCCCAAUUUAACGAUGAUUGGAUGGUGUUUGAAUGUGUAACGCCUGAAAGAAACCGAACCAAUGGUGAGAAUAAACCCCCAACUCUCCCUUUUAUUUGUGCAUGUCCGAAAUAAUUCUCGCUUUACAGAAUCAAUGUGUAGGUGAGGAGGGUGAAGGCGAGACUGGCAAGGGUGAAAAGGAGUAAAAAAAAAAUGUAACCCAAAGUGGUUGACAUGGAAAUUUAUAAAUGUGAUGAAAUUGAUGAUCUGUAAGAGCUACUUGAAAAUCAAGACUCAUUAGACCUCUAUACCAAAGGAUGGAAAGAAAUUAGAGGAGAGAGAUGAAUGCUAAAUAUUUUAGUAUAUUGGAUGUUUCUACUGUUUUGAUGAUUAGCUGGUAGUAUGGAAAUUUACAAAUGUGAUGACAUUGAUGAACUGUAAGAGUUACUUGAAAAUCAGGACUCAUCAGACCUCCAUGCGCGACGGUGAACAGAAAGUAGAGAAGAGAGUGGAAUGCUGAAUGUUCCAGCUUAAUUGGAUUUCGUUUUUCAUUGUAGAGAAGGGGCAUUUUUCUUGUUUAGGGCCUUACCAACAUUUCCAUGGUUGAAGAAACCCCUUAAUUCAUUGAAGCCUUUGAGCACCAUAAUGUACCUUCUUUUUGUCA